UACGUAGGGUGCAAGCGUUGUCCGGAAUUAUUGGGCGUAAAGAGCUCGUAGGCGGUUUGUCGCGUCUGCCGUGAAAGUCCGGGGCUCAACUCCGGAUCUGCGGUGGGUACGGGCAGACUAGAGUGAUGUAGGGGAGACUGGAAUUCCUGGUGUAGCGGUGAAAUGCGCAGAUAUCAGGAGGAACACCGAUGGCGAAGGCAGGUCUCUGGGCAUUAACUGACGCUGAGGAGCGAAAGCAUGGGAGCGAACAGG
Molecule: ribosomal RNA, 252 nt
Filed under: uncultured bacterium
Lineage: Bacteria
Description: partial 16S ribosomal RNA
Rfam family: Bacterial small subunit ribosomal RNA
Source: RNAcentral